GGAAGAGUGGCCGAGCGGUUGAAGGCACCGGUCUUGAAAACCGGCAACGGGUAACCGUUCGUGGGUUCGAAUCCCACCUCUUCCGCCA
Molecule: transfer RNA, 88 nt
Filed under: Acidihalobacter yilgarnensis
Lineage: Bacteria; Pseudomonadati; Pseudomonadota; Gammaproteobacteria; Chromatiales; Ectothiorhodospiraceae
Description: Acidihalobacter yilgarnenesis tRNA-Ser
Rfam family: tRNA
About the family: Transfer RNA (tRNA) molecules are approximately 80 nucleotides in length.
Source: RNAcentral